This 1826-nucleotide ribosomal RNA is filed under the name human gut metagenome. RNAcentral's name for it is "bacterial LSU rRNA". It matches the Rfam family "Bacterial large subunit ribosomal RNA", at positions 1028 to 2829 of the family's 2925-position model. The record is from RNAcentral.
CAGAUCGUCAAUUAAGGUCCCAAAGAUAUAGCUAAGUGGGAAACGAUGUGAAAUUGCGUAAACAACCAGGAUGUUGGCUUAGAAGCAGCCAUACAUUUAAAGAGUGCGUAAUAGCUCACUGGUCGAGUGAAUUUGCGCGGAAAAUUACCGGGGCUAAGCUAUACACCGAAAUUGCGGAUACAGUACAUUUAACAGUGUAUGUUAAGUGGAGAAGCAAGAAGAAAGAUAAAGAAGAAAGAAACUAACUAACAUAUAAUGUUAAGUGUACUGUGUGGUAGAGGAGCAUUCUAUAGUAGGAAGAAGUAUGAUCGAAAGGACAUAUGGACGAGAUAGAAGAGAGAAUGCCGGAAUAAGUAGCGAGAGCAAAGUGAGAAUCUUUGCCGUCGAAAGUCUAAGGUUUCCUGGGGAAGGUUCGUCCGCCCAGGGUAAGUCGGGACCUAAGGUGAGGCUGAAAAGCGUAGCCGAUGGACAGCAGGUAUAAAAUUCCUGCACUACCGAAUACUUAAAAGAUUCAAAUGACACAGUAGAGGAAGGGAAUCCAGGAAGAGGAAAAACUGGAGCCGAAAGGCAUAGUGAAAAUAUAAAGUAAUGAAGUCCCAAGAAUCACACUGGCGAGAAAAGUUUGAAGAUAUUGUAUAAGGUACCCGUACCGCAAACCGACACAGGUAGAUGAGGAGAGGAUCCUAAGACGAGCGAGAGAAGUAUUGUUAAGGAACUCGGCAAACUAACCCCGUAACUUAGGGAGAAGGGGUACCAUAGUAACAUAUGGUCGCAGAGAAGAGUCCCAAGCAACUGUUUAACAAAAACACAGGUUUCUGCUAAAUCGAAAGAUGAAGUAUAGGAGCUGACGCCUGCCCAGUGCUGGAAGGUUAAGGGGAAGGGUUAGGAGUAAUCCGAAGCCUAGAACUAAAGCCCCAGUGAACGGCGGCCGUAACUAUAACGGUCCUAAGGUAGCGAAAUUCCUUGUCAGGUAAGUUCUGACCCGCACGAAAGGCGUAAUGAUUUGGGAGCUGUCUCAACAAUAUACUCGGCGAAAUUGUAGUACUAGUGAAGAUGCUAGUUACCUGCGACAAGACAGAAAGACCCCAUGGAGCUUUACUGUAGCUUGAUAUUGGGUUUCGGUAAUUUAUGUACAGGAUAGGUGGGAGACUGAGAAGUUCUGGCGUCAGCUAGAAUGGAGUCACCCUUGGGAUACCACCCUUAAGUUAUUGAAAUUCUAACCUGUGAUCAUAAACUGGUCAGGGGACAAUGUCAGGCGGGCAGUUUGACUGGGGCGGUCGCCUCCUAAAGAGUAACGGAGGCGCCCAAAGGUUCCCUCAGCACGGACAGAAAUCGUGCAAAAGAGUGCAAAGGCAGAAGGGAGCUUAACUGAAAGACAGACAUGUCGAGCAGAUACGAAAGUAGGGCUUAGUGAUCCGGCGGUAGUGAGUGGAAAUGCCGUCGCUCAACGGACAAAAGUUACCCUGGGGAUAACAGGCUUAUCUCCCCCAAGAGUUCACAUCGACGGGGAGGUUUGGCACCUCGAUGUCGGCUCAUCGCAUCCUGGAGCGGAAGUACGUUCCAAGGGUUGGGCUGUUCGCCCAUUAAAGCGGUACGCGAGCUGGGUUCAGAACGUCGUGAGACAGUUCGGUCCUUAUCUGUCGCAGGCGCAGGAUAUUUGAAGGGAUCUGUCCUUAGUACGAGAGGACCAGGAUGGACGCACCAAUGGUACAACAGUUGUCAUACCAAUGGCAUAGCUGUGAAGCUAAGUGCGGAAGGGAUAAACGCUGAAAGCAUCUAAGUGUGAAGCCCACCCUAAGAUAAGAUAUCCCAUACCGUAAGGUAGU